GACAUAGUGGCAGACGGGUGAGUAACGCGUGGGAACGUACCUUUCGCUACGGAAUAGCUCUUGGAAACGAGUGGUAAUACCGUAUACGCCCUCCGGGGGAAAGAUUUAUCGGCGAAAGAUCGGCCCGCGUUAGAUUAGGUAGUUGGUGGGGUAAUGGCCUACCAAGCCUACGAUCUAUAGCUGGUCUGAGAGGAUGAUCAGCCACACUGGGACUGAGACACGGCCCAGACUCCUACGGGAGGCAGCAGUGGGGAAUCUUGCACAAUGGGCGAAAGCCUGAUGCAGCCAUGCCGCGUGAAUGAUGAAGGCCUUAGGGUUGUAAAAUUCUUUCGCCAGGGAUGAUAAUGACAGUACCUGGUAAAGAAGCCCCGGCUAACUUCGUGCCAGCAGCCGCGGUAAUACGAAGGGGGCUAGCGUUGUUCGGAAUUACUGGGCGUAAAGCGCACGUAGGCGGACUUUUAAGUCAGAUGUGAAAUCCCGGGGCUCAACCUCGGAACUGCAUUUGAAACUGGAAGUCUGGAGUUCAGGAGAGGUUAGCGGAAUACCGAGUGUAGAGGUGAAAUUCGUAGAUAUUCGGUGGAACACCAGUGGCGAAGGCGGCUAACUGGACUGAUACUGACGCUGAGGUGCGAAAGUGUGGGGAGCAAACAGGAUUAGAUACCCUGGUAGUCCACACCGUAAACGAUGACAGCUAGUUGUUGGCAGGCAUGCCUGUCGGUGACGCAGCUAACGCAUUAAGCUGUCCGCCUGGGGAGUACGGCCGCAAGGUUAAAACUCAAAGAAAUUGACGGGGGCCCGCA
RNAcentral lists this ribosomal RNA (800 nucleotides) under Hyphomonas sp. RNAcentral describes it as "bacterial SSU rRNA". It matches the Rfam family "Bacterial small subunit ribosomal RNA", at positions 89 to 925 of the family's 1533-position model. The record is from RNAcentral. Lineage: Bacteria; Pseudomonadati; Pseudomonadota; Alphaproteobacteria; Hyphomonadales; Hyphomonadaceae.